GCCGGGGUUGCCUAGGGAUUCAUGAGAAUCGGGAAACCAGGUAAGGCGUCGGCUUGCUAAGCCGAUGACCCUUCUGGGUCACGUGGGUUCAAAUCCCACCCCCGGCGCCA
RNAcentral lists this transfer RNA (110 nucleotides) under Candidatus Bathyarchaeota archaeon. RNAcentral's name for it is "tRNA-Ser". It matches the Rfam family "tRNA". Rfam says of the family: Transfer RNA (tRNA) molecules are approximately 80 nucleotides in length. Their secondary structure includes four short double-helical elements and three loops (D, anti-codon, and T loops). The record is from RNAcentral. Lineage: Archaea; Thermoproteati; Candidatus Bathyarchaeota.